GUCUAGAAAACACUUCCACUAUAUAAGUCCGUUCCCUCCAGCUGCGUCUGCAUCACUGCUGAAAUCCGUGUUUUAUACGAGAAAACAAGUGAGCUGGGACUUCAGGAAUAAGCUGAUGAAGGCAACUAUUACCAUACUCCUGCUAUGCAGUCUUUGGACUCCGAGAGCAAAAGAUAUUUGUUCGUUGAGGAUAUAUGGAAACAGUCAACGAUAUACAAAGACUGGGGACGUAAUUCUGGGAGGUGUGUUCCAGUUAUUCCAGUUCUCUUAUGCAAGACCUGAAAAUCAAUUUUUUCCUUUAACCCAGCUAUGUGCUGUGCCAUCUGCCCGAUAUCUACGACAUUUCCUUGCCGUUGACUUUGCAAUCGAAGAGAUUAAUAAGGACAUGCAUAUUUUACCUAACAUCUCUUUAGGAUAUGAUAUUUUUGACUCUUGUUAUUAUGAGCAAACAGCAGUAGAGGGCACUCUAAAAAUUUUGUCUGGUGGUCAAACAUUGUAUCCCAAUUACAACUGCCGCAAAAAUAACACAGUUGUAGCAUUUAUUGGACAUCUGCUCUCUUCCUCAUCUCAAGCAAUUGCAAGAUUACUUAAUUUGUAUGGCUACCCCCAGGUAAGGAAGACGUCUAAAUAUGUAAGAUUGUGGACAUUUUGGCCAAUAUUUUUUUA
Molecule: long non-coding RNA, 666 nt
Organism: Pseudophryne corroboree (corroboree frog)
Lineage: Eukaryota; Metazoa; Chordata; Amphibia; Anura; Myobatrachidae
Exons: 3
Source: RefSeq, a predicted model, not a curated record